RNAcentral lists this ribosomal RNA (349 nucleotides) under uncultured bacterium. RNAcentral describes it as "bacterial SSU rRNA". It matches the Rfam family "Bacterial small subunit ribosomal RNA", at positions 29 to 402 of the family's 1533-position model. The record is from RNAcentral.
AACGAACGCUGGCGGCAGGCUUAAUACAUGCAAGUCGAACGGGCGCAGCAAUGCGUCAGUGGCAGACGGGUGAGUAACACGUGGGAACCUUCCUCGUUGUACGGAACAACUCAGGGAAACUUGAGCUAAUACCGUAUAAGUCCGAGAGGAGAAAGAUUUAUCGCAAAUGAGACGGGCCCGCGUCGGAUUAGGUAGUUGGUGAGGUAACGGCUCACCAAGCCAACGAUCCGUAGCNGAUCUGAGAGGAUGAUCAGCCACACUGGGACUGAGACACGGCCCAGACUCCUACGGGAGGCAGCAGUAAGGAAUAUUGCGCAAUGGGCGAAAGCCUGACGCAGCGACGCCGCGU